Long non-coding RNA from Mus musculus (house mouse), 2077 nucleotides. RefSeq annotates it as predicted gene, 31141. The transcript has 4 exons. The record is from RefSeq and is a predicted model, not a curated record. Lineage: Eukaryota; Metazoa; Chordata; Mammalia; Rodentia; Muridae.
GAAAUCAGCAUCAAAGGACAAGCUCUUUGGACGAGGCGUUCAUGUGACACAUAUGGAUCAUCCCCGAAGAGCAGGCACAAAGAGUGUCCUUCACUUCCGGGCUUGUUAGAUCCAAGCCCCACCCCAAGUGCUGGUAUGGUGUUUGUUAAGCCUGGCCUUUGUGAAGCUCCCUGGGGUCUCCCUAGAAAUGCAAGCACACAGCAGAGUGGAUGAGCGAUGUAACAAGCUGUCCCUCCGUGGGGCACGGAGCAGGUGAAUGCAGUGGUUAUUCUGUCAGCUCUAAUACAGAAAACCCUCUCCAGGAGAAUUCUGCAGUUUUACAAAGUAACACUGGUGCCACUACAAAUGGGACUAGGUACUAUUGGGUCAGUGUGGGAAAGGAGACACAGCAGCAAGGAUAGCUCCUGUAUUCUACCAAGUUUCCUGACCAAUUUCCCGCCUCUCAAUGAAGACACUGAGUACCAGGUAGAAGAGGAACUCAUAUCCCAAAAGUUUGAAUGGAUUAAGAAAGAUGUACAGAUGAGUGACAGAAAAUACUGAAGCUGUAUGCCUGGGUCAACAUUUUGCUCAUCUGACCCCUUGAUCUCUACCCAUGCUUGUUUGGCUAUCCACAGAGUGAUAGCUUUCCCUUGGGUAUACUAACUUGUGUGUUCUCAAAGCACUAACAAGAUGCUAAUAUAAAAGGGUAGCAACUGAGGCCAGGGUGUUACUCUACCAGGAGCCUAUGAUGACACAUGGACUUCUGACAUGAACUUCUUCAACAGAAGGACUGCCUACCUGAAAAGUCUAGUCACCUAUGCAUGAUAGUAAGCAAACAUAAUAUGCAAAAUAAAGAGGGACACCACCCUGUGCUAACUGGAACAGCAAACUGUCUGUAAGAAGCCACAGCAAUUUGUGGGAAGCUACUUUGCAGGGAUGCUUCCAGCCAUGAAUUGCCGGGUAGUUGUUUUUGGAGCUGAACAUAUCUGGAAGGUUCUUUAGUUCCUGGCAGCUGAAGAGUUAAGACAGACAUCUGCUCAGAGGGACAGGCUCCUCUCCAUGACUGCCUCCUCUUCCUUAGUCAUCUUGGCUUUGCAAUCUUCCUUAACACAUGAACCCCUAAGAUUUGGAUUUCUUUCGCUCCCAGAGGCAAGAUGAAACCUGUGUAUGUUCUCUGGACUACAGAAGCCUCAAACAUAUCCCUUGGGAGACUGCUCUGUCUUCCAGAUACCCAGAAAGCUUUGGUUCUUAAUGAAGGUCCAGAUUACAGACUCAAUCUUCUUAAUAACUUCCUCCUCUACUGUCUUGGCCAUUUAUCUUGCUGGGACAAGAUACCUGACAGAACGGGAGGAUUUAUCUCGGCUCACAGUUCCAGAGUACAGUCCAUCAUGGGGUGGAGGAGGCAUGGAGGUAGGGGCUGAGAAACACUGGUCCUCAAUUGGCUUUCUUUUUCUUUCUUUUUUUCCUAGUCAGCUCAGGACCCCAGCCUAUAGAAUGGUGCUGUGCACAUUCAGGGGGUGGGGGGGCUGCUCUACUUCAACUAACAUAAUCUGGAAACUCAAACUAAUCUCAGAGAUGUGCCCAGAGACUUGUCUUCUAGGUGAUCCUAGACCCUGAUGAGUUAAUAGUCAAUUUUACCAUUGAAAUCACUCAUUUCUUAACUUCUGGUUGGUACCUCCCACCCUUUGUUAACAUUUAUUUUACUUCCAAUUUUGUGUGUGUGUGUGUGUGUGUGUGUGUGUGUGUGUGUGUUUUAGUUUGAAUGAAAAUGGCCCCUAUAGGGUUAUACUAAGGGGCACUAUUAAGAAAUGUGGCCUUGUUAGAAUAGGUGUGGUCUUGGAGAAAGUUUGUCACUGGGGGCGGGGGUGGAGGUGGGGGGUGGACUUUGAGGUUUCAGAAGCCCAAGCCAGGACCAGCAUCACUCUCUCUUCCUGUUGCUUACUUAUUUAGAUGUAGAACUCUCAGAUACCUCUCCAAUACCGUGUCUGCCUGCAUACUUCCAUACUUCUUGCCAUGAUCGUAAUGGACUAAAUCUCUAGACUGUACACCAGCUUCAAUUAAAUGUUUUCCUUUAUAAGAGUUGCCAUGGUCAUAGUAU